GAUGAACGCUGGCGGCGUGCUUAACACAUGCAAGUCGAACGGAAAGGCCAGUGCUUGCACUGGUACUCGAGUGGCGAACGGGUGAGUAACACGUGGGUGAUCUGCCCUGCACUUCGGGAUAAGCCUGGGAAACUGGGUCUAAUACCGGAUAGGACAAUGGUUUGGAUGCCGUUGUGGAAAGUUUUUUCGGUGUGGGAUGAGCUCGCGGCCUAUCAGCUUGUUGGUGGGGUAAUGGCCUACCAAGGCGUCGACGGGUAGCCGGCCUGAGAGGGUGUACGGCCACAUUGGGACUGAGAUACGGCCCAGACUCCUGCGGGAGGCAGCAGUGGGGAAUAUUGGACAAUGGGCGCAAGCCUGAUGCAGCGACGCCGCGUGGGGGAUGACGGCCUUCGGGUUGUAAACUCCUUUCGCUAGGGACGAAGCGUAUUUGUGACGGUACCUGGAGAAGAAGCACCGGCUAACUACGUG
This 468-nucleotide ribosomal RNA is filed under the name uncultured bacterium. RNAcentral describes it as "partial 16S ribosomal RNA". It matches the Rfam family "Bacterial small subunit ribosomal RNA", at positions 28 to 507 of the family's 1533-position model. The record is from RNAcentral.